UAAAGCCGAAACCCCAUCUAAUGAGGAUUAGCGCGUGUUGGUUGCACUCCGUCCAGUAAAUCCGCGGGUAAUAGGCCUAAGAAGGCCACCUGUGUGCACAUGCCGGUGAAUCCAAUCAAUGGCCACAAUAAGGGUGAUGUCAUCGGGAGGAAGGCCUACUGAUGUCAGCACUAUCACCAUGGUGACAAGGCCAGCCUGGGGGAUUCCGGCGGCUCCUAUGCUGGCAGCUGUUGCAGUGAUGCUGGAGAUGACAGGUGUGGUUGGCCAAGACAUGCUGAGGAGGAGAUAAGGGGAGUAAUACGAUCAGAUGGUGGCUCAUGGCGUAAACACUGAGCUCAUGGCGAUGUGCGACCAAGCCUGCCAGGGGGAGGAGACCAGGCCGUAAAGACCCUCGGAACCCUCGGAGGUGAGACCAGACCACAAAGACCCUCGGAACCCUCGGAGGUGAGGCCAGACCACAAAGACCCUCGGAACCCUCGGAGGUGAGGCCAGACCACAAAGACCCUCGGAACCCUCGGAGGUGAGGCCAGACCACAAAGACCCUCGGAACCCUCGGAGGUGAGGCCAGACCACAAAGACCCUCGGAACCCUCAGAGGUGAGGCCUCUUCCAUUUUCUACGGGUUUCCUCCACUGCAUCCACAUUACAUCUGGUAACAGCUGGACAUAAAGAGCUGGUUUCUUGGACAUGGACUAAGCCUAGUACAAGACUAAAGCCUCUAUGCAGAGGAGACCUUCAUUGAAAUUCUCUUGUAGUCCAGGACGUCUUAAACUAUGUGUGGGAAAUCUGCCUUAAAUUAAACAUCUUUUCA
This is a long non-coding RNA of Alosa sapidissima (American shad), 810 nucleotides long. RefSeq lists it as uncharacterized. The record is from RefSeq and is a predicted model, not a curated record. The transcript is spliced from 3 exons. Lineage: Eukaryota; Metazoa; Chordata; Actinopteri; Clupeiformes; Clupeidae.